Zea mays is the source of this 154-nucleotide RNA transcript. It is a transcript of the gene named antheraxanthin epoxidase pseudogene, with no coding region annotated. The record is from RefSeq and is marked validated. The transcript is spliced from 2 exons. Lineage: Eukaryota; Viridiplantae; Streptophyta; Magnoliopsida; Poales; Poaceae.
AAUAUUUGAAGGUGACCUUUUGGUUGGUGCCGAUGGAAUAUGGUCAAAGGUGAGGAAGACACUAUUCGGGCACUCAGAUGCCACCUAUUCAGGUUACACCUGCUACACUGGAAUUGCAGAUUUUGUGCCGCCUGAUAUCGAUACGGUUGGGUAU